UCUCCCUCUGUUUUCCAGGCUGCAGCUCCAGGCAAAGAAAUUGGAUUGAUUGAUUGAUUUAUGAGUGUCAAAUGAAGGACACAUAGGCAGACGAGGGGAGAGGGAGCAGGACAGGGAGAGAGAGAGAGAGAGAGAGAGAGAGAGAGAGAAAGGGGAUGGAUGGAUGAAGGCAGGCAGGGAGAGAAGGGGGAAAAAGAAGGAGAAUGGAGGAAUGGAGACAGAGACAAAUGAAAGGAGGGAGACAGAAGGGCGGGAAAAAGUCAGACGCAUGACUGGUGACCUCCGCCUCACUCGGGAACUGAUGCAGUACAUUCAGAACAGCAUUAUCAAAGGCACGGACAUCCAGGUGCUAUUAGCAGUUGCAGAUACAACAGAAACGUGCAAGCCUAGUUAUCAUCACAUGAUCACUGUCUGCAGUCUGCAUGAAGAGCUCCCUCAGUUGCUGUCCACACCACAGGUAAUAGGAUUUGAGAUUGUGAUCAUUAACAAUGUAAUUGCAGUUCUUUCAAUGUGCGAAAACCCCAAAAAAGUGAAAAAGUGGACAAUGGAAAAGUACUGUGAAAUACAGUGUGUCAUAAUUGGCAGAAUAAUUUUGAUUAUAAAUGUUCAAAUAAGUGUUUUAUAUUAUUAGCUUUUUAACAGAAGUUAAAAAAAUUAGACCUUGGAAUAUAUUUACAGAGAUGAGAUUGUCAGUAGUGUUUGUUAGCAAUGUUAGCUUAGCAUUUCUCAUUGUAAAAUAAUAAAAAAAAAAACAAAUUUUUAAGUGAAACA
RNAcentral lists this long non-coding RNA (771 nucleotides) under Astyanax mexicanus (Mexican tetra). Its description in RNAcentral is "lncRNA (ENSAMXG00005024978.1)". The record is from RNAcentral. Lineage: Eukaryota; Metazoa; Chordata; Actinopteri; Characiformes; Acestrorhamphidae.